CCAAAUUGCAUAAGUGAUAUUCCUGUCUGGAAAAGGACUAGAAUCUCACUGAAGAGGCAGACCCAAGAAUAUAAAAUUUAAAAUAAUGAGGAAAAACCAAAGUACAGUAUUGGGGAUACUGGUGAUUGAACUCAUACUAUGCUAUGUCCUCAGCCCUUUUUAAAAUUUUGAGAAAGGAUCUCCCCAAGUUUUCCUGGUGGGACUUGAACUUAAAAUACUCCUGCCUCAGCUUCCCUCAGUGCUAUUAUUAUAGCCCCAGGGCCUUGGAGCCCAGUCCCCGGAGCAGAAGACUGAAGCACAUAGGAAAAUGGAAGACAGAAGAGAGGAACGGACAGGGCAGAGUUAGCGCUCCCACCGAGUGACUCCAAAGGAUUCCUAGAAAAGAUGCAGCUUUCAAAGGCGACUGCAGUGAGGAGUAUCUGUGAACAAUUUCAAGAAUCACUUCUGAAGAAAUACCAGUACAGAAAUUAUUAUGAUUUGCAAUCACACCUGUGUGUACUGAACAACAUGACCUGUGAAAUCCUGCAGUAUAUUAUAGAAGAAGCACAUAAGGAGUGAUAUGGCACAUUCUCAAUUGAGGAUAACUUAUGAAAAACAUUUUAUCCAUUGGACACCUCUUCUUUUUUUUUUGAUAAUUUUCAUACAGUCUUAAUCUAGGUUAUCCAUUUCAGUCAUGUAGUUUGAGAGCAUAAAUAUAGCAAUCACAAAACCAAAAGUAUGUUCAAUACUUUGAAAUUAUUAUUGCUAAUUUUCUUGAUCAUUUUCUAAAUAAUGGAUAAUUAAAUAUUUUCAAGUAUCCACUAUACUUUGUACAAAACUGUACAAAAACAGUGAAAUAUAAUCCUUUGCAUAUACACUCACAUAUACACACUCAUAUUUAUAAAUAUCAAAUGGCAAUGAAUGAUGAAAUAUAAAAACACAAGGACAAAGUCCAUUCCUUUGAUAAAAUAGUAUUUCCAAUUUUACAAUGUAUUCCAGCUACCUGUGGUCAUGUACACCUGUAAUCCCAGUACUCAGAAGGCUGAGGCAGGAAGCUCACCAUGAGUUCAAGGGGAGCAUGGGCUACAUAGUGAGUUCAAGGCCAGCCUGAACUACAUAACAAGACCCUACCUUAAAAACAUAUUCAAAUCAAAUCAAAUGCAUUCCAUAGUGGUUUUACUAAUAUACAUUUCCACCUACAGUGUAGCAGGGUUCUUUUGUCCCCACAGCUUUGCCAGUACCAACUAUUUGUUAUUGAUUGUUUGAUGAUAGCCGUUCUUUCAGGAGUGAAAUGAAAUCUCAGUGUUGUCAUUUGCAUUUCUCUAAUGAUCAGUGAUGUUGAACAUUUAUGCGUUUUAUUGGCCAUUUAUGCUUCAUGUAAGAAGUGUCUAUUCAUUUCAGAUGUCCAUCUUUUGAUUGGGUCUUUUAUUUUGGGGGCUCUAAUUUUUUUGAGUUCUUUAUAUGUUAUAAAUGGAGAACUAAAAAAAAAAAACUAAAGUAGAAAUUCCAUCUGAUCCAGCUAUGUGUCUUCUCACAAGAGUGAAAGAUGUCAUAUUGCAGUGAUAUGCAUUAAUAUGUUUAUAGCAGCACAAAUUAUAAUAGCUAAAUCUUGAAUGUUAUAUGUUCAUGAACAGAUGAAUGGUUAAAAACGAUGUGAUAUUUAUAUACAUAAUGAAGUAAUUUUCUGCCAUGAAGAAGGAUAAAACUUGAGUAAUUUGUAGGAAAAUGGAUGCACUUUGAGACCAUAAUGUUAACCAAAAUGAAUCAGACACACAAGCUUAGAUAUUGCAUGAUUUCUCUUAUAUGUGAACCCCAAAAUUCAAAUAAAGAACAAAAGAAUAAAU
Molecule: long non-coding RNA, 1823 nt
Filed under: Heterocephalus glaber (naked mole-rat)
Lineage: Eukaryota; Metazoa; Chordata; Mammalia; Rodentia; Bathyergidae
Description: lncRNA (ENSHGLG00100030444.2)
Source: RNAcentral